UACGAAGGGGGCUAGCGUUGCUCGGAAUCACUGGGCGUAAAGAGCUCGUAGGCGGUUGAGUAAGUCGGGUGUGAAAACUCUGGGCUUAACCCAGAGCCGCCACUCGAUACUGCUCUGACUUGAGUACGGUAGGGGAGCAGGGAAUUCCUAGUGUAGCGGUGAAAUGCGCAGAUAUUAGGAGGGACACCGGUGGCGAAGGCGCUGCUCUGGGCCGAAACUGACGCUGAGGAGCGAAAGCGUGGGUAGCAAACAGG
Molecule: ribosomal RNA, 254 nt
Filed under: uncultured bacterium
Lineage: Bacteria
Description: partial 16S ribosomal RNA
Rfam family: Bacterial small subunit ribosomal RNA
Source: RNAcentral